ACAAGGUUUCCGUAGGUGAACCUGCGGAAGGAUCAUUAUUGAAUUUGAUUUUCUUUCAAUUCUUGUGAAAUAAAGAGAUUGCUUAGGGUCAAAAAUUCCUUUAUAUAUAAUUGAUUUUGGCCCUAACGUUUUCAAAAACACCAUUUAUUUUAAAAUAUCUAAAAACUAAAAGAAAAAAACAUUUUUGUUUUAAAAAAAAAAAAAUCAAAACUUUCAACAACGGAUCUCUUGGUUCUCGCAUCGAUGAAGAACGCAGCAAAAUGCGAUACGUAGUGUGAUCUGCAGGAUUGUGAAUCAUUGAAUUUUUGAACGCACAUUGCGCCUUUUGGUAUUCCGAAAGGCAUGUCUGUUUGAGCGUCAUUUCCUUCUCACAAGCAAUUGUGGUGUUGACGAAUCUACUUUUUUGAAAGAUAAAGAGUAUUUCGUUGAAAGGAAAUGGUGGUACAUUCAGAUCUCGAUACAACUAAAAAACAGUUAGGUUUUUCCAUUUUGUUUUUUACCAUUGGGAAUUUUCUGGAAUAAUUUAUUACCACGUUAAAAAAAAGCCUUGGAAAACUUUUUUGACCUC
This 568-nucleotide unclassified non-coding RNA is filed under the name Zygoascus sp. MK1-2020. Its description in RNAcentral is "sequence contains 18S rRNA gene, ITS1, 5.8S rRNA gene, ITS2". The stretch from base 209 to 360 matches the Rfam family "5.8S ribosomal RNA". The record is from RNAcentral. Lineage: Eukaryota; Fungi; Ascomycota; Dipodascomycetes; Dipodascales; Trichomonascaceae.